Molecule: long non-coding RNA, 983 nt
Organism: Galeopterus variegatus (Sunda flying lemur)
Lineage: Eukaryota; Metazoa; Chordata; Mammalia; Dermoptera; Cynocephalidae
Exons: 4
Source: RefSeq, a predicted model, not a curated record
UUCUGAGGGGCACGGGACGGGGUCUGCAGACGGCUGAGGGGGUGAAAGUAUGUGGCUUGAGGGGAGCAGGCCAGGCCAACUUCGUCUCCCGGGACCAGCGCUCCCAAGUUCUGCUGGGCGUCCCGGCGUCCGCGCGCUCCUGGGGCAUCGGCGUCCUGAGGUGAAGGGGUCCGGGUCGGCCCGGGUCGGCGAGACCAGGGUCCGGCUCUGGCCCGCGCAGGCCCACUCGUCCUGACCCAGUGCUUUGUCACCCCCAGCCGAGGGCCUACGCGCCACCGACAGAUAGUGGAUGGUGCUGGACUUCUAAGGACCACAAAUGCUUCUUUUCCUGGAGCUGCACCCUGAGGAUGUCAUGUGCGUGAAGGUGACAGUUGAAGCAAUGGGGGUGACAAGCUCGUCUAUGGAGAGGUGUAGAAAGAGAAAACCACGCAGGAGCCACUUGGAAGGACGCGCUGGAAGGUUGGCUGGCAGUGACCAGGGAGAGUGCACAUGAGUGGGGGAUUUGUAAUUCAUUAAUCAGCACGAGGCACCAGUUUCAACACCAGAGGCUUCAUGGGUGACUCAGCGAGAAUGCUCCUGAUUCAGGGCGAUGGACAGACCAAGCGUCCCCAUUUGUGAACUGCUUCCCCAUAAAGACAUUUGGCAUUCUUCUUCCUUUGGGGUUUUGGGUUGUCGGUUUUUUCUGGUGCUGAGGUAGGGGCGGUUUGGCUGUGCAGUGCUCUCUUUCCUUCCCUUAGGCCUGGGUUGGGACUUGCUGGGCAGGAUACCUAGGGGACCCACAAGCCUAGACCCUUCCUGGAGGGUCUCCCUUCCUCCCUCUACAAAGGGCUGCCAGGGAGAGCAAGCAGAGAGGAAACAGCUCUUAAUCUGGGGCUUGUAGACAACAUCCACUUUGUGAUUUUUCUUGGAGGACAGUCAUUUGGUCUCCAAGGCUUGGGUGCUCUAGAACUACACCACCAAUUAAAUCAUUUGGUUAUAAGUUG